AUAGCCCUGCACGUUGCGAAGUCUCAAGUGCCACUUGGGAUACGAACUCUAAAAAAUUUCAUAGCAACUGCGGGGCUAU
Molecule: non-coding RNA, 79 nt
Submitted as: unclassified sequences
Source: Rfam